RNAcentral lists this ribosomal RNA (510 nucleotides) under uncultured bacterium. Its description in RNAcentral is "partial 16S ribosomal RNA". It matches the Rfam family "Bacterial small subunit ribosomal RNA", at positions 28 to 507 of the family's 1533-position model. The record is from RNAcentral.
GACGAACGCUGGCGGCGUGCUUAACACAUGCAAGUCGAACGAAGAGCGAUGGAAGCUUGCUUCUAUCAAUCUUAGUGGCGAACGGGUGAGUAACGCGUAAUCAACCUGCCCUUCAGAGGGGGACAACAGUUGGAAACGACUGCUAAUACCGCAUACGAUCUAAUCUCGGCAUCGAGGAUAGAUGAAAGGUGGCCUCUACAUGUAAGCUAUCACUGAAGGAGGGGAUUGCGUCUGAUUAGCUAGUUGGAGGGGUAACGGCCCACCAAGGCGAUGAUCAGUAGCCGGUCUGAGAGGAUGAACGGCCACAUUGGGACUGAGACACGGCCCAGACUUCUACGGGAGGCAGCAGUGGGGAAUCUUCCGCAAUGGACGAAAGUCUGACGGAGCAACGCCGCGUGAGUGAUGACGGCCUUCGGGUUGUAAAGCUCUGUUAAUCGGGACGAAAGGCCUUCUUGCGAAUAGUGAGAAGGAUUGACGGUACCGGAAUAGAAAGCCACGGCUAACUACGUG